RNAcentral lists this transfer-messenger RNA (364 nucleotides) under Escherichia coli. It matches the Rfam family "transfer-messenger RNA". From Rfam's summary of the family: Bacterial tmRNA, also known as 10Sa RNA or SsrA, is named for its dual tRNA and mRNA-like properties. Its role is to liberate the mRNA from a stalled ribosome. The record is from RNAcentral. Lineage: Bacteria; Pseudomonadati; Pseudomonadota; Gammaproteobacteria; Enterobacterales; Enterobacteriaceae.
GGGGCUGAUUCUGGAUUCGACGGGAUUUGCGAAACCCAAGGUGCAUGCCGAGGGGCGGUUGGCCUCGUAAAAAGCCGCAAAAAAUAGUCGCAAACGACGAAAACUACGCUUUAGCAGCUUAAUAACCUGCUUAGAGCCCUCUCUCCCUAGCCUCCGCUCUUAGGACGGGGAUCAAGAGAGGUCAAACCCAAAAGAGAUCGCGUGGGAAGCCCUGCCUGGGGUUGAAGCGUUAAAAUUUAAUCAGGCUAGUUUGUUAGUGGCGUGUCCGUCCGCAGCUGGCAAGCGAAUGUAAAGACUGACUAAGCAUGUAGUACCGAGGAUGUAGGAAUUUCGGACGCGGGUUCAACUCCCGCCAGCUCCACCA